RNAcentral lists this ribosomal RNA (447 nucleotides) under uncultured bacterium. Its description in RNAcentral is "bacterial SSU rRNA". It matches the Rfam family "Bacterial small subunit ribosomal RNA", at positions 328 to 792 of the family's 1533-position model. The record is from RNAcentral.
UCCCCAGACUCCUACGGGAGGCAGCAGUGGGGAAUAUUGCACAAUGGGGGAAACCCUGAUGCAGCGACGCCGCGUGAGCGAAGAAGUACCUCGGUAUGUAAAGCUCUAUCAGCAGGGAAGAAGAUGACGGUACCUGACCAAGAAGCUCCGGCUAAAUACGUGCCAGCAGCCGCGGUAAUACGUAUGGAGCAAGCGUUAUCCGGAUUUACUGGGUGUAAAGGGAGCGCAGGCGGCCUUGCAAGUCUGAUGUGAAAGGCCGGGGCCCAACCCCGGGACUGCUCUUGGAACUGCAUGGCUGGAGUACAGGAGGGGCAGGCGGAAUUCCUAGUGUAGCGGUGAAAUGCGUAGAUAUUAGGAGGAACACCGGUGGCGAAGGCGGCCUGCUGGACUGUGACUGACGUUGAGGCCCGAAGGCGUGGGGAGCAAACAGGAUUAGAUACCCGUGUA